CGAGCGCAACCCCUACUUGCUAGUUACCAUCAUUAAGUUGGGGACGUCUAGCGAGACUGCCAGUGAUAAACUGGAGGGAAGGUGGGGAUGACGUCAAAUCAUCAUGCCCCUUAUGACCCGGGCUACAAACGUGAUACAAUGGCUGGAACAAAGGGAUGCGAAGCAGUGAUGUGGAGCGAAACCCAUAAAAACAGUCUCAGUUCGGAUUGAAGUCUGCAACUCGACUUCAUGAAGUCGGAAUCGCUAGUAAUCGCGGAUCAGAACGCCGCGGUGAAUACGUUCUCGGGGUUU
RNAcentral lists this ribosomal RNA (291 nucleotides) under uncultured Acholeplasma sp. RNAcentral's name for it is "partial 16S ribosomal RNA". It matches the Rfam family "Bacterial small subunit ribosomal RNA", at positions 1093 to 1382 of the family's 1533-position model. Lineage: Bacteria; Bacillati; Mycoplasmatota; Mollicutes; Acholeplasmatales; Acholeplasmataceae. The record is from RNAcentral.